CCUCCCAAAGCGUAACGGAGGAGCACGAAGGUUAGCUAAUCCUGGUCGGACAUCAGGAGGUUAGUGCAAUGGCAUAAGCUAGCUUGACUGCGAGCGUGAGGCGCGAGCAGGUGCGAAAGCAGGUCAUAGUGAUCCGGUGGUUCUGAAUGGAAGGGCCAUCGCUCAACGGAUAAAAGGUACUCCGGGGAUAACAGGCUGAUACCGCCCAAGAGUUCAUAUCGACGGCGGUGUUUGGCACCUCGAUGUCGGCUCAUCACAUCCUGGGGCUGAAGUAGGUCCCAAGGGUAUGGCUGUUCGCCAUUUAAAGUGGUACGCGAGCUGGGUUUAGAACGUCGUGAGACAGUUCGGUCCCUAUCUGCCG
This 361-nucleotide ribosomal RNA is filed under the name Klebsiella pneumoniae. Its description in RNAcentral is "bacterial LSU rRNA". It matches the Rfam family "Bacterial large subunit ribosomal RNA", at positions 2286 to 2647 of the family's 2925-position model. The record is from RNAcentral. Lineage: Bacteria; Pseudomonadati; Pseudomonadota; Gammaproteobacteria; Enterobacterales; Enterobacteriaceae.